Molecule: transfer RNA, 75 nt
Filed under: Embleya scabrispora
Lineage: Bacteria; Bacillati; Actinomycetota; Actinomycetes; Kitasatosporales; Streptomycetaceae
Description: Streptomyces scabrisporus tRNA-Arg
Rfam family: tRNA
About the family: Transfer RNA (tRNA) molecules are approximately 80 nucleotides in length.
Source: RNAcentral
GCCCCUGUAGCUCAGGGGAUAGAGCAACGGCCUCCGGAGCCGUGUGCGCAGGUUCGAAUCCUGCCAGGGGCACCU